CCUACGGGAGGCAGCAGUGAGGAAUAUUGGUCAAUGGCCGGAAGGCUGAACCAGCCAAGCCGCGUGCGGGUGGAAGGCGCAGAGCGUCGCAGACUUCUUUUGUCAAGGGACAAAAUCAGGCUCGAGAGCCUGACCGAGGGUACUUGAAGAAAAAGCAUCGGCUAACUCCGUGCCAGCAGCCGCGGUAAUACGGAGGAUGCGAGCGUUAUCCGGAUUUAUUGGGUUUAAAGGGUGCGUAGGCGGGCUGUUAAGUCAGCGGUAAAAGCCCGGGGCUCAACCCCGGCGAGCCGUUGAAACUGGCUGUCUUGAGAUGUCGAGAGGUAUGCGGAAUGCGCAGUGUAGCGGUGAAAUGCUUAGAUAUUGCGCAGAACUCCGAUUGCGAAGGCAGCAUACCGGCGGAGAUCUGACGCUGAGGCACGAAAGCGUGGGUAUCGAACAGGAUUAGAUACCCGGGUAGUC
RNAcentral lists this ribosomal RNA (459 nucleotides) under uncultured bacterium. RNAcentral's name for it is "partial 16S ribosomal RNA". It matches the Rfam family "Bacterial small subunit ribosomal RNA", at positions 338 to 795 of the family's 1533-position model. The record is from RNAcentral.